AUGCGGCCAGAAAUGGGUCUUCUGUGGAUUAUUUCAAAAUGAGGUCGUCAAAUUCUUGGCUGAGGUGGCUGUCAUCAGAUUGGAAAUCUAGUCUGUGGCUAAGAAGUCCUAAUAAAACUGCGAGGAGUCUGCUGAGUCACUGAUGUUCUGGUUUGGUGACCCUGCACCGAGGACACUGCAACUUUGCAAGCACUUCAACAGCAAGUCUUUGCGAAGACCGGAAAUGUCCAGACCAGCGCUACCCCAACAUGGAGCCAAAGAUGGUGUAACCUGGGAGGUCAUGACACAUGGAGUUUGCCCCCCAUUGCAGCGCAGCCCACGACAGACACCACACUAUAUUACCUCGACACAAUUGGUUCAAGAGCAGUGCAAGCAGAUGUUUCAGUACGGAGGCAGAUCUAGACGCAAACCGGCCUUCAUGUCUGGACCGGCUCUGAGCUGUUUAUGCAAUCCACACGCACACAGAUACACACACACACACACACACACACAUUAAAAUCUCUGGAACGUUAUCGAUCCUUCAGAACACAGGGGCUGGAGAGAGCAUAAACUGAUACAUGGAUUCCUGCCUUUACUCUCCUCCAGAAAACUGUUUUUUCCCUCUGUAACGAUGAGUUUAACAGAGCCACCUCUUUGAAAAGCCCUGCGUCUAGCUGGU
Long non-coding RNA from Pygocentrus nattereri (red-bellied piranha), 658 nucleotides. Lineage: Eukaryota; Metazoa; Chordata; Actinopteri; Characiformes; Serrasalmidae. The record is from Ensembl.